ACAUUGGUGGUUCCGUGGUAGGAUUCUCUCCUUGCAUGCAGAAGGCCCAGGUUUGAUUCCUGGCCAAUGCA
This 71-nucleotide transfer RNA is filed under the name Loxodonta africana (African savanna elephant). It matches the Rfam family "tRNA". From Rfam's summary of the family: Transfer RNA (tRNA) molecules are approximately 80 nucleotides in length. Their secondary structure includes four short double-helical elements and three loops (D, anti-codon, and T loops). Further hydrogen bonds mediate the characteristic L-shaped molecular structure. tRNAs have two regions of fundamental functional importance: the anti-codon, which is responsible for specific mRNA codon recognition, and the 3' end, to which the tRNAs corresponding amino acid is attached (by aminoacyl-tRNA synthetases). tRNAs cope with the degeneracy of the genetic code in two manners: having more than one tRNA (with a specific anti-codon) for a particular amino acid; and 'wobble' base-pairing, i.e. permitting non-standard base-pairing at the 3rd anti-codon position. Lineage: Eukaryota; Metazoa; Chordata; Mammalia; Proboscidea; Elephantidae. The record is from Rfam by way of RNAcentral.